GUCCUAGUCAAAUUUGACUGUAAGUUCCAAAUUGGGGGGGCGUGAGUUAUCGAGUAAAAGGGGGGCUUAGAGGCAAUGACGUAAUAGCAUCUUUAGUGAUAGUAAAUAACUAUUUUGACACAUACACAUAGAAAAAUAAACAUUAACUUCAGGGGACCGUGAAAAAAAUAAUGUGUCCUAGUCAAAUUUGACUGUAAGUUCCAAAUUGGGGGGGCGUGAGUUAUCGAGUAAAAGGGGGGCUUAGAGGCAAUGACGUAAUAGCAUCUUUAGUGAUAGUAAAUAACUAUUUUGACACAUACACAUAGAAAAAUAAACAUUAACUUCAGGGGACCGUGAAAAAAAUAAUGUGUCCUAGUCAAAUUUGACUGUAAGUUCCAAAUUGGGGGGGCGUGAGUUAUCGAGUAAAAGGGGGGCUUAGAGGCAAUGACGUAAUAGCAUCUUUAGUGAUAGUAAAUAACUAUUUUGACACAUACACAUAGAAAAAUAAACAUUAACUUCAGGGGACCGUGAAAAAAAUAAUGUGUCCUAGUCAAAUUUGACUGUAAGUUCCAAAUUGGGGGGGGCGUGAGUUAUCGAGUAAAAGGGGGGCUUAGAGGCAAUGACGUAAUAGCAUCUUUAGUGAUAGUAAAUAACUAUUUUGACACAUA
Molecule: non-coding RNA, 647 nt
Organism: Nerophis lumbriciformis (worm pipefish)
Lineage: Eukaryota; Metazoa; Chordata; Actinopteri; Syngnathiformes; Syngnathidae
Source: RefSeq, a predicted model, not a curated record